AUUCGCACCCAGAAACAAGGCUCUACCAAGUACACCCCGUUCUUUUUGAUGUUUGGUCGCCACCCUCGCCCCCCUAUGGAGCUCGGCACUAAUGAUCCAUCUGUUGAGCUGCCAGUGGUCGAUGACAUGGAGAUAGAGAAAAUGGUGGCCGAGAAGAGCAGCAUCAUGUCUUCCACGAAAGAGCAGGUUCAGCUGCAAUCUGAGGAAGAUAUUUCUACCUCUGCUUCCAGAGAAUGGAAAGAACCAAUGUUCUAAGAUGUGCUUAAGAAUGUUGACAGAGCCCAGGAGAAACAGAAAGAGCACUUUGCCCGACGAAAAUC
Thalassophryne amazonica is the source of this 320-nucleotide long non-coding RNA. RefSeq lists it as uncharacterized. The transcript is spliced from 4 exons. NCBI's taxonomy places the organism in Eukaryota, Metazoa, Chordata, Actinopteri, Batrachoidiformes, Batrachoididae. The record is from RefSeq and is a predicted model, not a curated record.